This is a long non-coding RNA of Equus asinus (donkey), 1787 nucleotides long. The record is from Ensembl. Lineage: Eukaryota; Metazoa; Chordata; Mammalia; Perissodactyla; Equidae.
GGGUGCUCUGAGGCCCCGCAGUGCAGGGCGCCGCCCGCGGCUCUCCGGGCUCUGAGCCACCUCUCCUGGAGGCGCCUGCGUCCGAGGCUGCUCUCUGCCGCAGUCCCUUCGCCUGGGGGUGCAGGGCGGGCGCGGGCUCCCGGGUCGGAGGCGGGAGCUCCGCUCCUGCAGUUCGGCUGUGGAGGGUUCGGCUGAGACCCAGCCGCACCGAACCCACCCGGGAGAGGCGGUCGGCGAGGGAGCCGGGAGCCCGGGGCGGGGGACUCAGGGCUGCGGGGGCCCGAGCCGGCGAAGGCGAGGCGUGUGUGUGCGCGCGCCGGCCGGCUGGGUGACAUUGUGCAUGAUUGUUGCUUUGGGAUUGCGUGUGUGGCUGUUUGCGACGACGGGAAUGGGGCUUGCGGGGCUGUGUGUGACUCUUGCCCUUGUUACUGAGUGUAUGUAGAGGGAUUGUCUUUCUAGUCCGGGUUGUGAGUGUGAUGGUACGACCGUGAAUGUGAAUCUGUGUGACUGCGUGUGACCAUUCGUCACACUGACGUUACUGACUCUGGUAAGAGUUUGGUGGCGAGGGGAAGUGGAGAUGGCCGAGCAUAUCGUCAUUCUGCUGUCUCUGGUAUUUAUAUUGGCUGGAUUGUGACAGUGUGAUAGUGCUUUUGCGGAUCUUUGAGAAUGUGGAAACAUCGUUUGUGUGGCUGUGUGUCACCAUUUGUGUUACUGACUGGGUAGGAAUUUGGCUGGGACUGGGGAGCAGCGUGUCGUCAUUUCACUGUUUCUAACGGUGGGUUUGUGGCUGUGUGGGGAUGCUCUUGUGUCUCUGUGAGGGCAACUGUGAGUGUGGUUACAUCGUGUAAGGGAUGUAGGAGUUUGGCUAAGAAGCUAGUGGGUGUGGGAGGUUCCUGUCUUCAUUUCUGGGUUUCUGGGAUCAUCUCUUUUGGGGAUCUUUGAGACUGUGAGGGAAGUUGUGAACAUUUGACCAUUGGUCAAAUUUUUUUUUAUUUUAAUUUUUUUGGUGAGGAAGAUUGGCCCUAAGCAAGCGCAGACUCAAUCACUAUGCCACUGGGUAGCCCCUGGUCAAUGUUGACUAUAGGAAUGUAACUGUCAGGGAAUGGGUGCAUUGUGUGUCUGAUUUCCGUGUUUCUGGGAUUGGUAUUAGUGCCUGUCCCUUGUUUUUCUUUCAGGGCCUAUCCCAGGUUUUUACAACAGUGCCUCCAUGGGAGCACGUCCUAUACAGUUUUUUUUUUUUUAAUUUUUUUUUUAAGAUUUUAUUUUUCCUUUUUCCUCCGAAAGCCCCCUGGUACAUAGUUGUGUAUUUUCAGUUGUGGGUCCUUCUAGCUGUGGCAUGUGGGACGCUGCCUCAGCGUGGCCUGAUGAGCAACACCGUGUCCAUGCCAAGGAUCCGAACCAGCGAAACCCUGGGCCACCGAAGUGGAGCGCCUGAACUUAGCCACUCAGCCAUGGGCCCAGCCCCGCUAUACAGUUUCCUCUUGUCUUGUUUUUCAGAGCACGGGAGUGUUUGUUUUCCUUCUCCUGAGAUGUCUUAAUCAAGACCUAUCCAGUGAUCUUUCCUCUCGGUCGUUCCUGCCUGAGGGGAUGAUGGGAGCUGCAGCGCUGAGCCUGGGCUCUCCAGGUUGCUAGCCACCAGCCAUGAGUGGCUUUCGAGCACUUGAAAUGUAACUGGUCAGCGUUGAGAUGUGCUGUAUGUGUAAAAUACACUCAGAUUUCAAGAUUUUCUUACUAGGACAAAAGAAUGUAAGAUAGCCCUUUAAUAAUUCUUUUAUAUUGAUUAUGUG